GGCGACGUAGCUCAGUUGGUAAGAGCGCGCGAUUCAUAAUCGCGAGGUCGACAGUUCAAGUCUGUCCGUCGCUACUA
This 77-nucleotide transfer RNA is filed under the name Acidimicrobiaceae bacterium. Its description in RNAcentral is "tRNA-Met". It matches the Rfam family "tRNA". From Rfam's summary of the family: Transfer RNA (tRNA) molecules are approximately 80 nucleotides in length. RNAcentral also lists the same sequence under 1 other name. The record is from RNAcentral. Lineage: Bacteria; Bacillati; Actinomycetota; Acidimicrobiia; Acidimicrobiales; Acidimicrobiaceae.